This 483-nucleotide ribosomal RNA is filed under the name uncultured bacterium. Its description in RNAcentral is "bacterial SSU rRNA". It matches the Rfam family "Bacterial small subunit ribosomal RNA", at positions 30 to 524 of the family's 1533-position model. The record is from RNAcentral.
AUUGAACGCUGGCGGCAUGCCUUACACAUGCAAGUCGAACGGUAACGGGCCUUCGGGUGCCGACGAGUGGCGAACGGGUGAGUAAUGCAUCGGAACGUACCUUUCAGUGGGGGAUAACGUAGCGAAAGUUACGCUAAUACCACAUAUUCUGUGAGCAGGAAAGCAGGGGAUCGCAAGACCUUGCGCUGAUUGAGCGGCCGAUGUCAGAUUAGCUAGUUGGUGAGGUAAAGGCUCACCAAGGCGACGAUCUGUAGCGGGUCUGAGAGGAUGAUCCGCCACACUGGAACUGAGACACGGUCCAGACUCCUACGGGAGGCAGCAGUGGGGAAUUUUGGACAAUGGGGGCAACCCUGAUCCAGCCAUGCCGCGUGAGUGAAGAAGGCCUUCGGGUUGUAAAACUACUGUCGGGAGGGACGAGGGGAAACGUCUGACGGUACCUCGCAAGAAAGCACCGGCUAACUCUGUGCCAGCAGCCGCGGUAAU